RNAcentral lists this ribosomal RNA (503 nucleotides) under uncultured bacterium. RNAcentral describes it as "bacterial SSU rRNA". It matches the Rfam family "Bacterial small subunit ribosomal RNA", at positions 29 to 526 of the family's 1533-position model. The record is from RNAcentral.
AACGAACGCUGGCGGCGUGGAUUAGGCAUGCAAGUCGUGCGCGAAAGUCUCCUUCGGGGGGCGAGUAGAGCGGCGAACUGGUGAGUACAAGGUGACUAACCUGCCCUUGAGUGGGGGAUAACUUCGGGAAACCGGAGCUAAUACCGCAUGGUCUCUUUGUCUUUCGGGAUGGAGAGUAAAGCAGCAAUGCGCUCGAGGAUGGGGUCACCCCCCAUUAGCUUGUUGGUAGGGUAACGGCCUACCAAGGCUACGAUGGGUAGCUGGACUGAGAGGUUGGCCAGCCACACUGGGACUGAGAUACGGCCCAGACUCCUACGGGGGGCAGCAGUCUAGAGGCUUCGACAAUGCCCGAAAGGGUGAUCGAGCGACGCCGCGUGUGGGAUGAAGGUUUUCGGAUUGUAAACCACUUUUGUUUGGGAAGAAGGCCUGUAUCGUGAAUAUGGGAUUGACGGUACCAGACGAAUAAGCCCCGGCUAACUCCGUGCCAGCAGCCGCAGUAAAAC